Long non-coding RNA from Ornithodoros turicata, 349 nucleotides. RefSeq lists it as uncharacterized. The transcript is spliced from 3 exons. The record is from RefSeq and is a predicted model, not a curated record. NCBI's taxonomy places the organism in Eukaryota, Metazoa, Arthropoda, Arachnida, Ixodida, Argasidae.
GCUGCCAAAAGACCAAGCAGUGCGAAGCUCUUGGCUGACAGUGGUGCCUGCUAAUUUCCACUGCAAGGAUUUCGUCAACGAAUGUUAUCAUAGGUUACGCGCGACUCCAGAGGCAAUUUGGAAUAUCGGCACGAAAUCGUCGGAUGAAAAUCUGAGGUGCCCGACGCACAACAUUUUGAACGUGCCACGGAGGAUCAGGCAAAAAACGAGAGCAAAAAAGGUGCACGCUGAAGGCGGAAAUGAAGCAUGAUCUGGCUUGCAUCUGGUGCAUGAAGAAAUUGCUGGCACGUUAGUUGCAGUCUACCUCCACCAACAGGGUGGAAAACAAAGGUCGCCAUUCCGAUUAGCU